AUCCAUGGCCAUGCCACCCUGAACAAGCCAGAUACCUGAUCUCAGAAGCUAAGCAGGGUCAGGCCUGGUUAGUUCUUGGAUGGGAGACCGCCUAGGAAGACCAGGUGCUGUAGGCA
This 116-nucleotide ribosomal RNA is filed under the name Pteropus alecto (black flying fox). Lineage: Eukaryota; Metazoa; Chordata; Mammalia; Chiroptera; Pteropodidae. The record is from RNAcentral.